UCAGUUGAAUGAAGCAGAGGGAGUGUAGAUAAGGAUGUGGUCGUGUCUUAUCUCAAACCCAAACCAAAAACCUGUGGAUGUAGUUGUUCUACGAGCCUCCAAACAAAUACAAAUACAAAUGCAACUCCACCCACCAACAGUUUCCUAAUACAAUUAAACACCUCUAUGAUUCUAUCUCUAUAUAAAGAGUCAAAGACCACCCUCUUCUUCAAACUUCAUCAUAUAUAUCUCUCUCCUUCUCUCUUCACACCCAACAUGGAGAAAGAUACCGAGGACACAAGGACUUUUGACAUGGAUGCACUCAGGACAAAUCUUCCACACAACAGGAGGGGACUGUCAAGGCAUUACUCGGGAAAAUCAAGAACAUUUACGUGCAUGGCAGAUGUUCAUUGCCUGGAGGAUUUGAAGAAACAAGAACACCCAGAUGCUAAGAAAAGGAAGAAAUAUUCGGAUAGGAAGAAGGGCGUCCACAUUUCGCCGUAUACGUGUAGAAGAGUAUCCAGUAGCACACAAUGUACUACACCUUAUGUUGGGGUGUAAAUAACUAAAUAUCAUUCAGAAAUGAAGGCAUAUAUAUCUUCAGAUAA
This is an RNA transcript of Alnus glutinosa, 587 nucleotides long. It is a transcript of the gene named protein OXIDATIVE STRESS 3 LIKE 3-like, with no coding region annotated. Lineage: Eukaryota; Viridiplantae; Streptophyta; Magnoliopsida; Fagales; Betulaceae. The record is from RefSeq and is a predicted model, not a curated record. The transcript has 2 exons.